GAGUUUGAUCUUGGCUCAGGGUGAACGCUGGCGGCGUGCUUAAGACAUGCAAGUCGAACGGUCCCUUCGGGGAUAGUGGCGCACGGGUGAGUAACGCGUAACUGACCUACCCCAAGUCGCGGAUAACGAUUCGAAAGAAUCGCUAAUACGUGAUGUGCUGUCAGAUUGUGUUCUGCCAGUAAAGAUUUAUUGCUUUGGGAUGGGGUUGCGUUCCAUCAGCUAGUUGGUGGGGUAAAGGCCUACCAAGGCGACGACGGAUAGCCGGCCUGAGAGGGUGGCCGGCCACAGGGGGCACUGAGACACGGGUCCCACUCCUACGGGAGGCAGCAGUUAGGAAUCUUCCACAAUGGGCGAAAGCCUGAUGGAGCGACGCCGCGUGAGGGAUGAAGGUCUUCGGAUUGUAAACCUCUGAAUCAGGGACGAAAGACGCGUAAGCGGGAUGACGGUACCUGAGUAAUAGCACCGGCUAACUCCGUGCCAGCCGCCGCCGUAAC
Molecule: ribosomal RNA, 494 nt
Filed under: uncultured Deinococci bacterium
Lineage: Bacteria; Thermotogati; Deinococcota; Deinococci
Description: bacterial SSU rRNA
Rfam family: Bacterial small subunit ribosomal RNA
Source: RNAcentral